RNAcentral lists this unclassified non-coding RNA (250 nucleotides) under uncultured Pyrenochaeta. Its description in RNAcentral is "sequence contains ITS2". The record is from RNAcentral. Lineage: Eukaryota; Fungi; Ascomycota; Dothideomycetes; Pleosporales; Pleosporaceae.
AACGCACAUUGCGCCCCUUGGUAUUCCAUGGGGCAUGCCUGUUCGAGCGUCAUUUGUACCCUCAAGCUCUGCUUGGUGUUGGGUGUUUGUCCUGCCUUGCGUAUGGACUCGCCUUAAAGUUAUUGGCAGCCGGCGUAUUGUCCGUGGAGCGUAGCACAUUUUACGCGCCUGGUAUCAAAUCGUUGGCGUCCAUAAAGCCUAACUUAUCACUUUUGACCUCGGAUCAGGUAGGGAUACCCGCUGAACUUAA